Molecule: ribosomal RNA, 328 nt
Filed under: uncultured Bacteroidota bacterium
Lineage: Bacteria; Pseudomonadati; Bacteroidota
Description: bacterial SSU rRNA
Rfam family: Bacterial small subunit ribosomal RNA
Source: RNAcentral
GAUGAACGCUAGCGGGAGGCUUAACACAUGCAAGUUGAGGGGCAGCACGAUGUAGCAAUAUAUUGGUGGCGACCGGCGCACGGGUGAGUAACGCGUAUGCAACCUGCCCUGUACAGGGGGAUAACCCGGAGAAAUUCGGACUAAUACCCCAUAAAGAUAUCUGGAGGCAUCUUAAGAUAUUUAAAGUUAAGGCGGUACGAGAUGGGCAUGCGUAACAUUAGCUAGUUGGCAGGGUAACGGCCUACCAAGGCAACGAUGUUUAGGGGUCCUGAGAGGGUGAUCCCCCACACUGGUACUGAGACACGGACCAGACUCCUACGGGUGGCUG